GACUCAAAAUACGGCAUAUGGAGGAUGCCUUGACAUCAAGAAGCGAUGAAGGACGCGGCGUGACUGCGAUAAGUCUCGGGGAACCGUCUAGCAGGUGUUGAUCCGGGAAUUUCCGAAUGGGGCAACCCAAUUGAGUAAAGCUCAAUUAUCUACUCAAAUUUUAUUUGAGCGGAUGCAGACCCGCUGAAGUGAAACAUCUCAGUAAGCGGAGGAAGAGAAAACAAAUUCGGCGAAAGCCGAAACCAUUCCCCAAGUAGCGGCGAGUGAACGGGGAACAGCCCAAACCUUUUUUAGAAAAGGUGUUGCAAGACAGCACAUUUGAAAAUUGAGCUUUGAAAUUUGAAGCUUGAUUUUCUGAGGCGAUUCCCAAAUUGCUAUGCAAUUUGUGAGCCUUCGCCUUGAAAGAAGUUAAAAAUUCAGAUGUUAGCAGAACGGUCCUGGAAAGGCCGGCCAAAGAAGGUGAUAGCCCUGUAAGCAAAAACGUUUGAACUUCUCGUGUUGAAGAAAGUUAUAUCGGAGUCUAUUUAUAGAUUUCGAUAUAACUUUCUAAUCUUAAGUAUCCCGGGACGAGACCAUCCUGGGUGAAUCUGCCACUACUACGUGGCAAGGCUAAAUAUUCUUGAUGAUCGAUAGUGAACCAGUACCGUGAGGGAAAGGUGAAAAGUAGCCCGGUGAGGGCGGUGAAAUAGUACCUGAAACCAUAUGCCUACGAAGAGACGGAGCUUGUUUCGGCGCGCAAGCGUCGAAUGAGUGACGUCGUGCCUAUUGAAGAAUGAGCCAACGAGUUUAUCUAAACUGCGAACUUUAAUCCGCUAUGCGGAGAAUGGAUAGCGAAAGCGAUUCCGAAAAGGGUAGUCCCCUGCUUUUGCAGGGGCGGGCAGUUUGGAUAAGACCCGAAGCCAGGGCGAGCUAACCAUGGCCAGGAUGAAUCCCAACGAAAGUUGGGAGGAGGUCCGAACCGGUUGAAGUCGCAAUUUCAUCGGAUGAGUUGUGGUUAGAAGUGAAAAGCUAAUCGAGCCUGGUAAUAGCUGGUUCUCUCCGAAAUGUCUUUAGGGACAGCCUCGGAUUUACGAUAGCGGGGGUAGAGCACUGAUUGGUUUGUCGUGCCCGAAAGGGUAGGCUUACCAGUCAAACUCCGAAUACCGUUAUUAAUUGUCCGGGAGUGAGACUGUGAGGGCAAAGCUUCAUAGUCGAAAGGGAAACAGCCCAGAGAACAAUCUAAGGCCUCUAAAUUCAAGCUAAGUGUAAAGGUGGUGAAGAUGCUAUGACAGCAAGGAGGUUGGCUUAGAAGCAGCCAUCCUUUAAAGAGUGCGUAACAGCUCACUUUUCGAGCAUUUUUGCGCCAAAUAUGUAUAGAGGCUAAGCUUGAUGCCGAAGAUGUUUAUCUCCAAUUUUUAAUUGGGGGUUGUAGGAGAGCGCUUCUUAAGCAGUGAAGGUCAAACGUGAGUUUGGCUGGAGCUUAAGGAGGUGAAAAUGUUGGCAUGAGUAACCGCAAUCAGGGUGAAAGCCCCUGACGCCGAAAGCCUGAGGUUUCCUCCGCGACGGUGAUCGUCGGAGGGUUAGGCGGGCCUAAGGAUAAGUCUGGCUAAGGUCAGGCGAUGCCGAUGGACAGCCGGUUAAUAUUCCGGCCCUUCUGUGGAAUCUAAUGGAGCGACGAAGCGCAGUAGACUAAGCGUGUUAUUGGAUUUGCGUUUGCGAUUUGAGAAUGGGAUAUAGGAAAAUCCGUAUCCCUAGCUUUUAAUAGCUGGAUUCAAAUAUCGUGAAAACCUUGGCGCAAGCCUGGGGAUUUGGUUAAGCGCGCUUCCAAGAAAAACUUCUAAAGUUAAUUCCAUAGAAUCCGUACCGUAAUCCGACACAGGUAGGCAGCUAGGCAAACUAGUAAGGCGAACGGGUGAUUGGUGGCCAAGGAACUCGGCAAAAAAGCGGUCGUAAGUUCGCAAUAUGACCUGCCCCGAUUUAACGUUGGGGCCGCAGCGAAUGACCCCUGGGGACUGUUUAUCAAAAACACAGCUCUCUGCUAAGCCAUAAGGCGCUGUAUAGAGGGCGACGCUUGUCCAGUGCUGGAAUGUUAACGGUUAAAGUCGUGGCGCAAGCCACGGCGGCGGCCCGAAGCACCAGUAAACGACGGCGAUAACCAUAAUCGUCCAAAGGUUACAGAGCGCGUUGCCUUUGUAAAAUCUGGCCGUAUGCUGGAAGUCUGAUGUGGAUAAUCCGCUGGUAAUAUAUUACCUUUGGUCUAUAAUUAAAUUAGUGACCAAAUAUACUGCGUCAGAUAAUCAGCAGGAAAGCUUGAAAAAUAUUGGUUGGAUAGUUGGUUUUGUAGAUGGAGAAGGAACUUUUACUGUAAGUAUAUUUAAGAAUGAAAAAGCGCAAAGAAGAUUAUGAUAAUCAUCACGAAGAUAUGUAUAAGUACUGCGUGAGAUCACUUAAAGAUCUAAAAGAAAAAAUAAUUCCUUUGAAUCGAAAAUCCAGACCAAAGUUUUCAGAGCUCCUCAGAGACUACACGCCAGACCUCGACGUUACGUCGGGGAAGAUAUAGUCCGAUCCCCGUGGCGACACGGGCGUGGUAGAGAAAUUCUAUCACUCUAGAUUAAUCUAGAUUAAAUUGAGCGCAAUUCCUUUCCGGGUAAGUUCCGGAGCGCAUGAAAAGCGGAACCACUGGGGGACUGUCUCGGCCACUGGCCCGGUGAAAAUGCAGUUGGGGUAAAGAUGCCCCAUACCCGCACCAAGACGGAAAGACCCCGGAAGCUUUACUGCAGCUUGGUAUUGGUCUAUGAAUUUCGAUGCGUAGAAUAGUGGGGAGGAUUUGAAGCCCCGAUUUCGGUCGGGGUGGAUCCGACAGUGAAAUACCCAUCUUCGUAAUUUGUAGUUCUAACUGGUGACACCCUAAGAGGAGAAAAAAUCUUUUCUUAGGGUGUCAUCAAGACAGUGUCUGGUGGGCAGUUUGAAUGGGGCGUUUCCCUCCUAAAGAGUAACGGAGGGGUUCAUAAGGUUGGCUUAGGGCGGAUGGAAAUCGCCCUGGACGCAUAAAGGCAAAAGCCAGCUUUACUGUAAGGCAUACAUGCCGCGCAGUUGCGAAAGCAGGACUUAGUGAACCGAUAGUUGUUAGUAGGAACGCUAAAGAUUAACGGAUAAAAGCUACUCCGGGGAUAACAGGCUAGUCCCGCCCACGAGUCCAUAUCUACGGCGGGGAUCGGCACCUCGAUGUCGGCUCGACUUAGCGCGGGGGUGAAGAAGCUCCCAAGCGUUGGACUGUUCGUCCAUUAAAAAGUUACGUGAGCUGGGUUCAAACCGUCGUGAGACAGGUUGGUCCUUAUCUGGUGUGGGCGUUUAAAGACCUGAGUGGGGUCGCUCCUAGUACGAGAGGACCGGAGUGAGCGUACCUCUGGUGUACCAGUAGUCCUGCCAAGGGCGUCGCUGGGUAGCUAAGUACGUGAGUGAUAAGCGCUGAAAGCAUCUAAGCGCGAAACAUGCCACAAGAUUAGGUCUAGGUCCGUCAGAGACUAUGACGUUGAUAGGGUUUAGGUGUAAGCGGGGCAAUCCGUUUAGCCGAGAACUACUAAUAGACCGAUUUUAUUCCC
Molecule: non-coding RNA, 3581 nt
Organism: Parcubacteria group bacterium
Lineage: Bacteria
Source: Rfam